Molecule: ribosomal RNA, 301 nt
Filed under: uncultured bacterium
Lineage: Bacteria
Description: partial 16S ribosomal RNA
Rfam family: Bacterial small subunit ribosomal RNA
Source: RNAcentral
CAGCCGCCGCGGUAAAACGUAGGUGGCGAGCGUUGUCCAGAAUUAUUGGGCGUAAAGCGAGCGCAGGCGGUUUGAUAAGUCUGAAGUUAAAGGCUGUGGCUCAACCAUAGUUCGCUUUGGAAACUGUCAAACUUGAGUGCAGAGGGGGAGAGUGGAAUUCCAUGUGUAGCGGUGAAAUGCGUAGAUAUAUGGAGGAACACCGGUGGCGAAAGCGGCUCUCUGGUCUGUAACUGACGCUGAGGCUCGAAAGCGUGGGGAGCGAACAGGAUUAGAGACCCGCGUAGUCCCUGUCUCUUAUACC